CUACCAGCAAUGGGCGGAGUCUCCACGCUGCAUCCUGUUCUCCCCGACACAUGCCCAGUAUACCAGAAUAAUGAUGAGAUAUGCGGUUUGGGCGCGUUAGUUUAAACAAAAGUCGCUUUUGGCUCAAAACUUCUAAAAAACCAAAACGUAGUAAUGUAAAUGUAGCCUCGCACUCCCAUUACACACGAACACCACACUGCUUUAAUGUUGACAUGUUUGAGAUGUGACAGACGGGUGAAUCCCCUUUUUUCCAGAAGUCAAUCAAAGGGUAUCCCCGUGCGGAGGGGUAGGGCUGGGUACUCAUCCUCAAUACUGUUUUGGUAUCCUUAGCAUGGAAAAAAUUAGCAUAAAUAAUCUGGUUAGAUCUGUGAUCUUGUUUACUGUGAUUUGUAAUUUGUUCAGAUUCCCAUUUCAACCAAAGUCUUGUUAGUUUUAGACUUUUAAUUAAGCCACGGUUAUAGAAUGUGUGCUUGUGUUCAGACAUUUAACACUUCAAAAAUGUGGCUUCUUUUGUCGAAUGAAAGGAGGAAAAACAACAGUUGAAAACCAUGUUUUGUAUUUCUCACAGUAACGCACCGAAACCCCAGUUUCAGAUCCGCACUUUAGUCAGAACAAGUUCAAAUGAGACCCAGCCCUAGUCGAGAGUGGCGGGAUGUGCUGGACCAAAAAUGUCUUAGAAAUGUUUCAAUAGAUCUGUCAAGUUGUAACAUUUCACGUUGUUGAUUUUUCAGCCCAGAGCUACUCAUUGGGCCUCAUGCAAUAAUGUCUUAUUCUUAUCUUAAACUUCUCUGGCUUUUUUUUCUGUAAAGUUUUGUCAUGCAAGUGUUCCAAGUCAAAUUCACCAAACAAAAACUGGUUUUUAACUUGAUGAAUAUCCUCUGAGAUUUCGUGAGAAGGGAUCAUUAACAAUCAACGGCCCUAAAAUUGCCACCUAAGUCUGCCUGUUUCACAAAUCCUGCUGUCAGAAAUCAGCCGACAAAAACACUUCCAACUGAGCAGAGCCAGCAGUUGUGUUCAAUGACCCGAAACGGUAAAAGUCUUAAUUAAUAGUGCCGCCGACGGUCGAGCCAUCAGAGCAGAAUCAUAUUGUCACAAAAAUAAAGAGGGAAUGGUUUGACAGGUUUUUUAUAAAGACCAGGACCUGUACAAACCCCUGAUUGAGAGAUAAAAUAUUCCAAUUUUUUUUUAUUAUUUGUAAUAUGGUGAA
This is a long non-coding RNA of Etheostoma cragini (Arkansas darter), 1207 nucleotides long. RefSeq lists it as uncharacterized. The record is from RefSeq and is a predicted model, not a curated record. The transcript has 3 exons. NCBI's taxonomy places the organism in Eukaryota, Metazoa, Chordata, Actinopteri, Perciformes, Percidae.